CCAGACUCCUACGGGAGGCAGCAGUGGGGAAUCUUCCGCAAUGGACGAAAGUCUGACGGAGCAACGCCGCGUGAGUGAUGACGGCCUUCGGGUUGUAAAGCUCUGUUAAUCGGGACGAAAGGCCUUCUUGCGAAUAGCGAGAAGGAUUGACGGUACCGGAAUAGAAAGCCACGGCUAACUACGUGCCAGCAGCCGCGGUAAUACGUAGGUCCCGAGCGUUGUCCGGAAUUAUUGGGCGUAAAGCGCGCGCAGGCGGAUCAGUCAGUCUGUCUUAAAAGUUCGGGGCUUAACCCCGUGAGGGGAUGGAAACUGCUGAUCUAGAGUAUCGGAGAGGAAAGUGGAAUUCCUAGUGUAGCGGUGAAAUGCGUAGAUAUUAGGAAGAACACCAGUGGCGAAGGCGACUUUCUGGACGAAAACUGACGCUGAGGCGCGAAAGCCAGGGGAGCGAACGGGAUUAGAUACCCCGGUAGUCCUGGCCGUAAACGAUGGGUACUAGGUGUAGGAGGUAUCGACCCCUUCUGUGCCGGAGUUAACGCAAUAAGUACCCCGCCUGGGGAGUACGACCGCAAGGUUGAAACUCAAAGGAAUUGACGGGGCCCGCACAAG
This 606-nucleotide ribosomal RNA is filed under the name uncultured bacterium. Its description in RNAcentral is "bacterial SSU rRNA". It matches the Rfam family "Bacterial small subunit ribosomal RNA", at positions 331 to 929 of the family's 1533-position model. The record is from RNAcentral.